RNAcentral lists this ribosomal RNA (446 nucleotides) under uncultured bacterium. Its description in RNAcentral is "partial 16S ribosomal RNA". It matches the Rfam family "Bacterial small subunit ribosomal RNA", at positions 331 to 793 of the family's 1533-position model. The record is from RNAcentral.
CCAGACUCCUACGGGAGGCAGCAGUGGGGAAUAUUGCACAAUGGGGGAAACCCUGAUGCAGCGACGCCGCGUGAAGGAAGAAGUAUUUCGGUAUGUAAACUUCUAUCAGCAGGGAAGAAAAUGACGGUACCUGACUAAGAAGCCCCGGCUAACUGCGUGCCAGCAGCCGCGGUAAUACGUAGGGGGCAAGCGUUAUCCGGAUUUACUGGGUGUAAAGGGAGCGUAGGCGGUUUAGCAAGUCAGAAGUGAAAGCCCGGGGCUCAACUCCGGGCAUGCAUUGGAAACUGGCGGGCUGGAGUGCCGGAGAGGUAAGCGGAAUUCCUAGUGUAGCGGUGAAAUGCGUAGAUAUUAGGAGGAACACCAGUGGCGAAGGCGUCUUACUGGACCGAAACUGACGUUGAGGCUCGAAAGCGUGGGGAGCAAACAGGAUUAGAUACCCGCGUAAG